GUGAGGAAUAUUGGUCAAUGGGCGAAAGCCUGAACCAGCCAUGUCGCGUGAAGGAUGAAGGUCCUAUGGAUUGUAAACUUCUUUUGCAGGAGGGUAAAGUGAGCUACGUGUAGUUCAUUGCAAGUACCCUGCGAAUAAGCAUCGGCUAACUCCGUGCCAGCAGCCGCGGUAAUACGGAGGAUGCGAGCGUUAUCCGGAAUUAUUGGGUUUAAAGGGUGCGUAGGCGGACUAAUUAGUCAGCGGUGAAAUGUUGCGGCUCAACCGUAAAACUGCCGUUGAAACUGUUAGUCUUGAGUGCGGUAGAGGUAGGCGGAAUGUGUGGUGUAGCGGUGAAAUGCUUAGAUAUCACACAGAACACCGAUUGCGUAGGCAGCUUACUGGAGCGCAACUGACGCUGAGGCACGAAAGCGUGGGGAUCGAACAGGAUUAGAAACCCCGGUAGUCC
RNAcentral lists this ribosomal RNA (445 nucleotides) under uncultured bacterium. Its description in RNAcentral is "partial 16S ribosomal RNA". It matches the Rfam family "Bacterial small subunit ribosomal RNA", at positions 354 to 796 of the family's 1533-position model. The record is from RNAcentral.